RNAcentral lists this ribosomal RNA (548 nucleotides) under uncultured bacterium. RNAcentral describes it as "bacterial SSU rRNA". It matches the Rfam family "Bacterial small subunit ribosomal RNA", at positions 36 to 616 of the family's 1533-position model. The record is from RNAcentral.
CUGGCGGCGUGCCUAACACAUGCAAGUCGAACGAGAAAGUGGAGCAAUCCAUGAGUACAGUGGCGUACGGGUGAGUAACACGUGACUAACCUACCCUCGAGUGGGGAAUAACUUCGGGAAACCGAGGCUAAAACCGCAUAACAUCUACGGAUCAAAUGCGCAAGCAGCUUGAGGAGGGGGUCGCGGCUGAUUAGCUAGUUGGCGGGGUAACGGCCCACCAAGGCAAUGAUCAGUAGCCGGCCUGAGAGGGCGCACGGCCACACUGGAACUGAAACACGGUCCAGACUCCUACGGGAGGCAGCAGUGGGGAAUUUUGCGCAAUGGGGGAAACCCUGACGCAGCAACGCCGCGUGGAGGAUGAAGCCCUUUGGGGCGUAAACUCCUUUCGAUCGGGACGAUUAUGACGGUACCGGAUGAAGAAGCACCGGCUAGCUCUGUGCCAGCAGCCGCGGUAAUACAGAGGGUGCAAGCGUUGUUCGGAAUUAUUGGGCGUAAAGGGUGCGUANGCGGUGCGGUAAGUCUUCUGUGAAACCUCCGGGCUCAACUCG